This 660-nucleotide ribosomal RNA is filed under the name uncultured cyanobacterium. RNAcentral's name for it is "bacterial SSU rRNA". It matches the Rfam family "Bacterial small subunit ribosomal RNA", at positions 99 to 794 of the family's 1533-position model. The record is from RNAcentral. Lineage: Bacteria; Bacillati; Cyanobacteriota.
CGGACGGGUGAGUACGCGUGAGAAUCUGCCUCCAGGUCGGGGACAACAGCGGGAAACUGCUGCUAAUCCCGGAUAAGCCCUAGGGUAAAAGAUUUAUUGCCUGGAGAGGAGCUCGCGUCCGAUUAGCUAGAUGGUGAGGUAAGAGCUCACCAUGGCGACGAUCGGUAGCUGUUCUGAGAGGAAGAUCAGCCACACUGGGACUGAGACACGGCCCAGACCCCUACGGGAGGCAGCAGUGGGGAAUUUUCCGCAAUGGGCGAAAGCCUGACGGAGCAAGACCGCGUGCGGGAAGAAGGCCCUUGGGUCGUAAACCGCUUUUCUUAGGGAAGAAGCUCUGACGGUACCUAAGGAAUCAGCCUCGGCUAACUCCGUGCCAGCAGCCGCGGUAAUACGGAGGAGGCAAGCGUUAUCCGGAAUUAUUGGGCGUAAAGCGUCCGCAGGCGGCUUAUCAAGUCUGCUGUCAAAGACUGGGGCUCAACCCUGGGGAGGCAGUGGAAACUGAGAAGCUAGAGUGCAGUAGGGGUAGAGGGAAUUCCCAGUGUAGCGGUGAAAUGCGUAGAGAUUGGGAAGAACACCGGUGGCGAAAGCGCUCUACUGGGCUGCAACUGACGCUGAGGGACGAAAGCUAGGGGAGCGAAAGGGAUUAGAUACCCCUGUAGU